UCGGGUAUGGUGUAACGGCUAACAUUACCGCCUCUCAUAAGAGCAGCCCGCGGUAGCUCGGGGUUCGAUUCCCCGUACCCGAA
Molecule: non-coding RNA, 83 nt
Organism: Amylocystis lapponica
Lineage: Eukaryota; Fungi; Basidiomycota; Agaricomycetes; Polyporales; Postiaceae
Source: the annotation of a GenBank genome assembly